Molecule: ribosomal RNA, 467 nt
Filed under: uncultured bacterium
Lineage: Bacteria
Description: partial 16S ribosomal RNA
Rfam family: Bacterial small subunit ribosomal RNA
Source: RNAcentral
GACGAACGCUGGCGGCGUGCUUAACACAUGCAAGUCGAACGGAAAGGCCCUGCUUUUGUGGGGUGCUCGAGUGGCGAACGGGUGAGUAACACGUGAGUAACCUGCCCUUGACUUUGGGAUAACUUCAGGAAACUGGGGCUAAUACCGGAUAGGAGCUCCUGCUGCAUGGUGGGGGUUGGAAAGUUUCGGCGGUUGGGGAUGGACUCGCGGCUUAUCAGCUUGUUGGUGGGGUAGUGGCUUACCAAGGCUUUGACGGGUAGCCGGCCUGAGAGGGUGACCGGCAAAUUGGGACUGGGGAUACGGCCAGGAUUCUUCGGGGGGGAAGAGGGGGGAAAUAUUGCAAAAGGGGGGAAGGCGUGAUGAAGAAACGCGGCGGGGGGGAUGACGGCUUUGGGGUUGAAAACCGCUUUCGCCUGGGACGAAGCGUGAGUGAGGGUAAUGGGUAAAGAGGAACGGGCAACCUAGGU